UACGUAGGGUGCGAGCGUUGUCCGGAAUUAUUGGGCGUAAAGGGCUCGUAGGCGGUUUGUCGCGUCGGGAGUGAAAACAUCUGGCUUAACUGGGUGCUUGCUUUCGAUACGGGCAGACUAGAGGUAUGCAGGGGAGAACGGAAUUCCUGGUGUAGCGGCGAAAUGCGCAGAUAUCAGGAGGAACACCGGUGGCGAAGGCGGUUCUCUGGGCAUGACCUGACGCUGAGGAGCGAAAGUGUGGGGAGCGAACAGG
Molecule: ribosomal RNA, 253 nt
Filed under: uncultured bacterium
Lineage: Bacteria
Description: partial 16S ribosomal RNA
Rfam family: Bacterial small subunit ribosomal RNA
Source: RNAcentral